CCCCGGGGCAAGGAGGGGAGGCCAGGCAGCCGGAAGGAAACUCCUGAGCUUUUUACGGAAUGCACAAGACAAAAGAGUGCUGCUUGCUCUGCAGCUGGUCCAAGAAGCUUCACCUCCCAGGAGCACCAGACAGAUGAUCUCCUGUUUACAGUGGUUCCAGGAGCACCAACCCCAAGGAUGAGUUAUAAGCAGGUCUCUAAAGAGAUUUUAGGAGAAGCUGCUAAAAUGGUGGCAAAGCUCUUUAGAAACAUAGAAGUAUGAACCUUUUUAUGGGGAGAACUUAUAAGAGUUUGGAGAGGUCUUCCAGGUCCACACAACCUCCCUGGAAAUGGCAAGGAGUUAUAAUUUCCAUUUUACAGAUGAAAAAUGAAAAAGAGGAGAAGGGGAUGCCAUUUGCUCAAGGCUGCUGGAACGCUAGGCUGGCUCUGGGACUAUCACGAAAAGUUUCUAACCCCCCGCCACGGCUCUUCUCACAACACAAGAAUGAGCUCAGAGAGGUUAAUGAACCUGCCAAAGACCCCAGCUGAGAGACUGAGUUGGUUUGCAGAUUCCAAAGCCCACAUUCAUUCCAUUUUAUCUCAUCUUUAGUGGACUUUGAACAUGCCUCAGCCUUCACCUUGACCCUUGGUGAAGGUGCUGAGAACCAAGACCCAGUGCAGCGGUGUCUCUGGAACCUCCUGGAGCUCAGCAGCCGACUCCCAAACCUGGAGGUCCUCACUCUGCACCCUGUGCUCUGCCCUCUGGCUGAUCCUCAGCAUUCCCAGGCAGCCUGGCUCCCUGUAAAGUUGUUUAAACUUCUGUUUAUCAUCAUCUUCCAUCAUUUCUAAUUGUUUUCCUGUGUCCCUUUCUUUUGUAGAGGAUAUAAACUCAGCAUUUUAGCUUUUGAAAUAGAUUUGCUGUGCAGUUUCAUGGCUCUUUAGUGGCUUAAAAUGUAUUGUUCUGUGAGUCUUUCUGUGCCCGUCACAGCAUUCACUGUGGGAAGCAGCAGGACGCCAGCGAUGCUGAUGUUUAUUUGAUUUUAGGGGACUUUAAGGCAUUCCUGGGACCAUACGGAUUCUAAAUAUUCUGCCUCAUUGUCUUCAGAAGCUACUAAAAUAUCCUAGAAAUGAUCAUGUUUCAGCAUGUAAGCUACAUAUUUCACGUUACCUCUUGUAUCCAUCCAUACAUAGCCUCUAUCAAGAGCCUGGCAUAAGCCAAUGUAAUGGUUCUGAAAUGGUAACCACAUGGUUCUUCAAUCACUAAAACCCUUUCCACUCUGAGAUUGGACAUUCAUUGCUAUUUUCUGCCAGGGCUUUGAUUUACAAGACUGUCUAUGAGUUCUGUGUUUAAUAUACAGAACUGGCUGCCCUCAAUGCAUGAGACUUCCUGGUAUUUUUUUCAUGUGAUUAGAUGGAUUACAUUUGUUUCAUAUUUAUUGUUUAGAUAUACAAGUAAUCCUCACUUUGCACAGUGUCAUGUCUGCAUAUUGAAACCCUAUACUCACUUUGUGCAAUCCUUUGGUAAGUGCAAAGUGAGAACACAGGUCUGAUAUGUACAAGUUUCAGUGAACAUGGUACUAUGCAUCAUGAAGACUAUCUGAAGUUGCUUUCAAAUAAAAUUUGGAUAAGGACUGUAAAAAAAAAAAA
Molecule: long non-coding RNA, 1625 nt
Filed under: Homo sapiens (human)
Lineage: Eukaryota; Metazoa; Chordata; Mammalia; Primates; Hominidae
Description: long independently transcribed non-coding RNA 2026 (LINC02026)
Source: RNAcentral